UUGAAUAUUAGGAUUAGAUUGUUGCUGGCUUUAUUGCAUGUGCACAUCUAACUUAUACACACACUUGUGAACCUAUUGUAGAUCGCGAGAUCUAUGUCUUUCAUCAUCACAUAUCAUUGUAUGUCUAUAGAAUGUAAAUAAUAAUAAUA
RNAcentral lists this unclassified non-coding RNA (149 nucleotides) under uncultured Rossbeevera. RNAcentral describes it as "sequence contains ITS1". Lineage: Eukaryota; Fungi; Basidiomycota; Agaricomycetes; Boletales; Boletaceae. The record is from RNAcentral.